AGGAGCCCUUGCAAGAACGUGCGCUGCACCGCGGCCUGUCACAAAGAACACUUCAAGGGUGGGUACUGCUCCAGUAAGAAGUCAAUUGUUGGCGAUGACCUCAACGAAGACAACGAGGAGAACUUCUAUAAGAAACGUCCUAAGAAAAAGACGUGCAUGUGUACAUAUGAAUGCAGUAAAGCCCCGCCACCACCGUCAGAACCUGAUGUGCCAGAGCCACCGGGUGAACCCGUGGUGCCGGAUCCUCAGAAGAAGCCGCCACCGCCAUAUGAACGUGACGUGCCGGAGCCGCCCUUGGGAGAACACAAGAAGAAGAAGAAGCCGCCAGCUGCCGACCAGUGAGCAAAUGGUCUAUUCCACCCGCCUGAGGAAAAUGAUUUUAAUAAGAGAGGAAUUAUUCAAUGCUUGACUUGUACUCAUGCAUAAAUGAUUGCGUGAGAAUAAUAAUAAUAAUAAUCUGGGUACUGUUAAAGGGAGUAUGGCGUUGUGAUAGUUCCACCUUCUCCCACCCUUCCUACAUUUCCAUGCAGCCAACACCGAUCUUUUUUCUCUCAUACGAGCCCACGCAUCCAAUGAGCCAACACGAAAAGGAAAAAAAGAUCCCAUGACCCACGAACACAUGUCCACACGCCUCAUCUCCCUGACCACGCCCCUCCCGAUCACAUCUUUUUUAAACGCUAUGGAGUCUCUAUCUCUACAUACGACUAGUAGAAUGCUCAUGCGUUGUCAUGGGCAUUUGAAAUAUUUUACUGGAGUUAUACCUAAAACAUAAUGCACGUUAAACUUCAUAGAAAAGAUAGACAGUAAAAGUUGGGUAGAAAUUGAAAUUCACUUCACUUACAAUGUACUCCCAAAUGUAGGAUCACUUUUUGACACUAUCAUAAUGUCAACAAUGAUCUUAUAAUUUGGGACGGAGGUAGUGGGUUGAUAAAAAAAAGGCAAUUUUAAGAUGUGUACCUAGAGCGAUGAUAUAACUAUAAUACGUUAUGAAUUAAGAUCUACUUGAUGCACUUAAGAUAUUCUCGCUCAAUAUAAAAAUGUUGUCUUUAGCUUGAUUCACACGAUAUUUAAGCAAAUAUAAUAAAAACAUCUUCCUCAACUAUCCAUCACAAGCAGUAUAUGUAGUCAACACAAAUAGUUUACAUGGAAGGUCUAAAAUUUUGCAGCAAAGAAUACCCACCGUGCAAACUAGACGAACCAAUUCUGUACCGUUCAACGAGAACAUAAUCAAAAACAAAGUAGCUAGACACAUCCCUGCAAUUGAAUAAUUAAGAUUAUCUUCAAUAUGGUGAUAAAAAUGAUUGUAUCUUGAAUAUUAUCAUAAUGAAAUAUAUAAAUUUGCUCAUCCAUGGGAAAAUUAAACACAUAUAGAAGUACAUCUUUCGAGUAUUAUAUCAUGUGCAACAAACAUACAAAGAAGAAUAAUUAUUUACAUGCACCUCUUCUGAUUGCGUAAAACUCGUUGAUUUUUCAGUCCGGUCCAUCAUCAUUACGUCAAUGACUAUAUCACUCGAUAUUUUCAAAGCAUCAUCCAAAUCCACCAGUUUCUAUAUGACCAACAAAAAAGGGAAAUAUAAAAAUAUAUUAGGAAAAGUAUAUAUAAAAAAUCAUGUAUGUAAAACAUAUAUUCAUUGGUCGGCUGCUAGAAAUGAACGGUGCCUGUUUUUAACUAACUGGGUGACAUAAUGUUUUUUAGUAGAUUGAGUGGCAUCCCAUUUUUAAUAAAUUGUAGGCUCAUCUAUAAAUCACUAUUUUAUGAUUAUUCUUGGGAAUUUACUAUUUAGGCAUGUGAUAUUCUAGGAGAAAAAAUAUGUUACAUUUCUCUAGAGUAAACAAUCGAUUUUCCCACCAUAUUAGGAAGAACAACCGAUUUUUCUAAAAAUCAAACACAGCCAGCCUUUCCCUUCCUUUGUAGAAGUAUAUUUUAUAAAGCAAAAACAACUCACCCCCUCACUCUCUCACGCACGGGCACAAGNNNNNNNNNNCAGUCUCAGUCGACUGAGAUCUAACCACAUUUUUUUAUUUACCGAAACAUAUGCAUAUGCGUUUUGCAUUAGAGAUGGUCUUAACAUAAUUUGUUUUCCACGACGAGUUCUCUCACAUAUUUUUUUUUCAUGUAAGCAACUAUGAGUUGCCAAGUAUUAUUUGUGUUUUGCUCUUACACUGCCACCAAUGUAAUUGCACCAAGAGCCAGUAGAAGGUUUCUUUGGCCGGGUAGCACAAGCUUUUAUUUAGACACACAUGAUUAAUUACUGGAGAUAGAUACUAUACACAAAUGCUUGUAUCCAAUAUUUGGAUUUCCAUAUCCUCUAAGACAUUACACAAAUGCUUCUAUCCAAUAUUUGGAUUUUCAUAUCCUCUAAAACAUUACACAAAUGCUUGUAUCCAAUAUUUGAAUUUUCGUAUCCUCUAAGGCAUUACACAAAUGCUUGUAUCCAAUAUUUGGAUUUUCGUAUCCUCUAAGACAUUACACAAAUGCUUGUUUCCAAUAUUUGGAUUUCCAUGUCCUCUAAGGCAUUGAAUGGAUAGCCAAGAGGAAUGCAAUAAAUAGCACUCAAACCCCAUUCUUCUCCUCACACAUCCUUUCCAACAACUUAUUUUGAGCACUUGGCCAUGGCGUUCAGCGGCGCCCAGAUGCUCGCUGCCUUCACCAUGGGCUUUCUACUCAUGGCCUUCUCUAAGUUCAUAUAGCAGAUUUUAUCGCAUUGCAAUUCCAUGCAAUUUUAGAUCAAUCGAUGAAAUAACUGCUACUAUAAUUUUCUGGUGCACACAUUAAUUCUAUGUCACAUGCAGGUGUGGAGGCUCGGGUAUGCAUGUCCCCUAGCAAGUCGUACAAAAGGAGCCCUUGCAAGAACGUGCGCUGCACCGCGGCCUGUCACAAAGAACACUUCAAGGGUGGGUACUGCUCCAGUAAGAAGUCAAUUGUUGGCGAUGACCUCAACGAAGACAACGAGGAGAACUUCUAUAAGAAACGUCCUAAGAAAAAGACGUGCAUGUGUACAUAUGAAUGCAGUAAAGCCCCGCCACCACCGUCAGAACCUGAUGUGCCAGAGCCACCGGGUGAACCCGUGGUGCCGGAUCCUCAGAAGAAGCCGCCACCGCCAUAUGAACGUGACGUGCCGGAGCCGCCCUUGGGAGAACACAAGAAGAAGAAGAAGCCGCCAGCUGCCGACCAGUGAGCAAAUGGUCUAUUCCACCCGCCUGAGGAAAAUGAUUUUAAUAAGAGAGGAAUUAUUCAAUGCUUGACUUGUACUCAUGCAUAAAUGAUUGCGUGAGAAUAAUAAUAAUAAUAAUCUGGGUACUGUUAAAGGGAGUAUGGCGUUGUGAUAGUUCCACCUUCUCCCACCCUUCCUACAUUUCCAUGCAGCCAAC
Molecule: long non-coding RNA, 3372 nt
Filed under: Triticum aestivum (bread wheat)
Lineage: Eukaryota; Viridiplantae; Streptophyta; Magnoliopsida; Poales; Poaceae
Description: long non-coding RNA (TAES_LNC026317)
Source: RNAcentral